Equus caballus (horse) is the source of this 2885-nucleotide long non-coding RNA. Lineage: Eukaryota; Metazoa; Chordata; Mammalia; Perissodactyla; Equidae. The record is from Ensembl.
GAAUAUUUUUCAAACUUGUAAAAUGGUUUAUAAAAAUGGAAAAUAUAACUCAUUAGAAAAUUAUAAUUAUUAUUUGUUUUUUAAGAAUAUUCACAUGUACUUUUCAAGGCUAUAUAUUGAUAUGAAAUAAAAAUACUCAUCUGAAACUGUUAUAUAAACACAAAUUAUUCAGCUGUUUGUAUUUUUCUGGCAUGAUCACUUUGAUUCUAAAUUCUUCUGUUGUGAAAUGCUGAGUUCGUUAAAUUUUAGUGUUUGAUUUUUUAUUUUUACUUUUUUAUCUGUGUAUUAAUAUAACCUUUUCUGGUUUUAAUAAGAAUAUUGAACUCUAAUGUCACUUAAAACUUGUUUUGUCAUAUUGUUGCUGAAUUUGUGUACACCCAAGGGAAAUUAUUUUUGUUUUAUAUAUUGAAUGUUUUGAGUUAAAAAUUUUUCACAAUAAAAUAUUUUAAGUGUAAUUCCCUAAAGUCUGAAAGUGUGUGUGUGUAUGUAUGUGCUUUAUAAGGGUAAUAUAACGUUAAAAAAAUCAUACCAUGUGCAGGUUAUGAUGAAAAUUUAGUUCGCUUUAAAAUUUCCUUCACUAAAGAUAGUCUUUAGUCAACUUAAACACUUACUACAAUUUUUAUCUUAUGUUUAAAAGUAUUUCUACUUAUUCUCAAAACGUAAUUUUUAAAAAAAUUUUCAUCUUUUCCCUUUUAAAGAAUGCUGGAUUUUUAAAAAUUACAAAUCUAUUUAUUUAUUGGGUCUACAGUUAUAUAAUUUUCAUCCUUUUUCAAAAGUCUCCAACAUUAUAUUUGUUUUUUUCUAUUAUUGACUAGAAUUUAAUAUUUAAAUUGUAUUUAAAGUGUAUUUAAGAUUCUAGUAGUUCCAGUUUGGCUAUGAUACAUCUUAGGGUGAAUGCUAAGUAACAAUUUUAAUGUAUUUCCUUAGUUUUCUCAUACUUUCUUAUCAUAAAGUGAUGAGUUAUUGAUUUGCUUUUGUUAUCAUAAUGCUUUUCCAUAGCACAAUAUUUGUUUAUCUUUAUGUCCUUGAACAUGCUGACAUCUCUGAGUACCUUCUCCUUAUUAUGAAGUCAUCAUCCUUUAUCAUCUUGUCACAUUCUCCUGUAUGGUGCAUUCAUAUUCAUUCACAAAUGUUUUGGAAGUCACUGUAUUAGAUAUAGGAGAUAGAAAAAUGAGUCUUCAGAUCAAGAGGAGCUGUACUUGAGGAACCACUUCUGGGGAGCCUAAUCUGCAUUUGGACCUGAUUUAGAUAUUGAGGUCUGAGACUGUCCCAAUGCCAUAAUGGAAUGAAACUUUGAAAGUCUUGGGGGAGGGUGUAGUAUAUUCAGCAUGUGGGAAUGUUGUGAAUUGUUGUGGCACACUGUGUUACAUUGUGUUAUCCAAAGAUUGUCGCAGUAAUAUUUCCCAUCUGACAUGCACUUAUCCAGUGUGACCUUGCCAUUCUCUGUCUGAGGUGGAGUAUAAUUACCCUUCCCUUGGAUCUGGGCAGGCUUGUGACAUCUUUGACCAAAGCAUAGGGUAGACGUGAAGCUGUGUGACCUUAUAAGCUGGGUUAUAAACUGAUGCAGUUUUCACCUUAUUUUCUGAAAUGCUUGCACCUGGUGCCCUGCACCAUCAUACAGGAACUCCAACCACCACAUCCAGGGCAUGAGGAAACCAAGCCACAUAGGGAGGCCAUGUAGAAGGACUCCCGUCCACAGUUCUAGACCCCAGCCGUUUGAGUUAUCCUUGCUGAGGCCAUGGGCGUUAUGCAGAGACAAGCCAACUCCACAUGUGCAUUAUGUCCAAACUCCUAAAUUGCAGGAUCCAUGAACUUAAUAAAAUACUUGUGGUUUAUACACUAAGCUGUGAGGUAGUCAGUGAAACAACGGGAUAACUUAAAAGCCACAUUAUAAGAAUCAUUAGACCUUUUGUUUUAUAGUAAAAGUGAAGAGGCUGGGUAAUGAGUAAAGUAUGAAUUUCAGUGGAAAAGUUUAUACACACAUUUUAGCUGUCUAAUGGUUUAUUUACUCAUUUAUUUGGUUUUAGGAUACUGAGUUAUGUGGCUAUAUCUGUGUUAUAGGUAGUUGAUGUGCCACUGUACUUUAGUUUGUACUGGUUAAUUUGUAAACGUUCUAUUUAAUUUUGUUCUCCUACUUGAUUAAAAACUCAAAUAUCAUUAUUCUUUCAUUUUGCCUCCGUAUUUUACACAUAAUAGAUAUGAGAUAAAUGCAUAUUGGUUGAAUAUUAAAUUUUGUCAUCUUUUCAGAAGGCAUAAAUCAUGAGUUUUAAAAAAUAAUGUGAAAAUGUUAUAGAUGACUUAGGAAAUAGGGAGUUAGAUAUCAAUAUUAAUGCCUUUAUUAAUAAGAGUUAUAGUCUGUCUUUUAAGGAACUUCAUUCCUGGUAAUCUACACAUCUAAUUUGAAUAUUUUUAUGAGGUAAAGAUUAUAGAUAAAAGAAAAUUUUUCUAGCAGUUAAGAAAAAUGUUUUUAUAAUUUUUUGGAGGGUUUUACUGACAUCUAGUGGCAUUCAGUCCCAUAUGGUUUAAAUUCCUGUAGCCUCUACUCAUCUUUUCAUGAUUAUCUUCUCUUAAUUUUUAAGACUUUUUUAAAGGAAAAAGAUAUUUCAGGUACUUAAAGUGACCAGUAGCAUUUUUUGGAGGCUGCCUGAUAUUGUACCUCAUAUAUGAUUUAACGUGAAUGAACAAAUAUGAUCAUGUCAUUCAUUCUUUAGUUUUUGCCUGCACUUUUUCUUUUCCUUCAUUUGCUUGGAUUUCCCUCCCUUUCUUUUUUUCCUAUUCAUUUGAUUCUUCCACCCCUGCCAUAAGGUAGGUCAUGACAACAGCCAAGAUUUUCUCCCUGUGCAUGCAGUUCAGUGCAUGAUUGAAUAUAAUUAUGUAGAUAUAUA